RNAcentral lists this small nucleolar RNA (159 nucleotides) under Cladophialophora carrionii. Lineage: Eukaryota; Fungi; Ascomycota; Eurotiomycetes; Chaetothyriales; Herpotrichiellaceae. The record is from RNAcentral.
ACGUCUCUUGCCUCGCUCGGUCUGCAUCCAUCUAUUGCUUGAUCUUGAGCUGGAUGCCCACUUCGGUGCGCGUACGAGACCAGAUCAAACUUGCUGAUUUUGAGUACGAUGUCGCCUCUGUUCGAUGGUGGACAUUGUAAUUUUUCCAGCAAUACAUUG